GCAGAGGGAGAGGGAGAGGGAGAGAUCCAGCAGCAGAGAGAGAUUCUAAUCUUUCUAUUGAUUUGGACGUCAUUGCAUAGUCUCUGUACUUACAGGUCAUGAAAAAGCAGCUGCUAUUCCUAGGGAAGGAAGUUGAUGUUUAUUCCUUCUGCUCUCCAUCAUUUAAGCUAUGCCAAUAUAAACAGUUUAGCCAAAAAAGAGCAAUGACGUCACAACCUUUUAAAGGAUACAUAAAUAACUAAAGCACCUUCUUACAUAGUCUAAUGAAAACUGAUGACAUGAUCCUAUCUGUACAA
RNAcentral lists this unclassified non-coding RNA (296 nucleotides) under Hevea brasiliensis (rubber tree). Lineage: Eukaryota; Viridiplantae; Streptophyta; Magnoliopsida; Malpighiales; Euphorbiaceae. The record is from RNAcentral.